RNAcentral lists this ribosomal RNA (440 nucleotides) under uncultured bacterium. RNAcentral describes it as "bacterial SSU rRNA". It matches the Rfam family "Bacterial small subunit ribosomal RNA", at positions 338 to 795 of the family's 1533-position model. The record is from RNAcentral.
CCUACGGGAUGCAGCAGUGGGGAAUAUUGGACAAUGGGCGAAAGCCUGAUCCAGCAAUGCCGCGCGUGUGGAGAAGGUCUUCGGAUUGUAAAGCACUUUCGACGGGGACGAUGAUGACGGUACCCGUAGAAGAAGCCCCGGCUAACUUCGUGCCAGCAGCCGCGGUAAUACGAAGGGGGCUAGCGUUGCUCGGAAUGACUGGGCGUAAAGGGCGCGUAGGCGGUUUAUGCAGUCAGAUGUGAAAUCCCCGGGCUUAACCUGGGGACUGCGCUUGAGACGCAUAGACUAGAGGUCGAGAGAGGGUUGUGGAAUUUCCAGUGUAGAGGUGAAAUUCGUAGAUAUUGGGAAGAACACCGGUGGCGAAGGCGGCAACCUGGCUCGAUACUGACGCUGAGGCGCGAAAGCGUGGGGAGCAAACAGGAUUAGAUAGCCGUGUAGUC